RNAcentral lists this ribosomal RNA (301 nucleotides) under uncultured bacterium. Its description in RNAcentral is "partial 16S ribosomal RNA". It matches the Rfam family "Bacterial small subunit ribosomal RNA", at positions 509 to 807 of the family's 1533-position model. The record is from RNAcentral.
CAGCAGCCACGGGAAUACGGAGGGUGCGAGCGUUAAUCGGAAUUACUGGGCGUAAAGCGUACGCAGGCGGUUUGUUAAGUCAGAUGUGAAAUUCCCGAGCUUAACCUGGGAACUGCAUUUGAAACUGUCAGGCUGGAGUCUCGUAGAGGGGGGUGGAAUUCCAGGUGUAGCGGUGAAAUGCGUAGAGAUCUGGAGGAAUACCGGUGGCGAAGGCGGCCCCCUGGACAAAGACUGACGCUCAGGUGCGAAAGCGUGGGGAGCAAACAGGAUUAGAUACCCGGGUAGUCCCUGUCUCUUAUAC